AUUGAACGCUGGCGGCAUGCCUUACACAUGCAAGUCGAACGGCAGCACGGGUGCUUGCACCUGGUGGCGAGUGGCGAACGGGUGAGUAAUACAUCGGAACGUACCUUAUCGUGGUGGAUAACGCAGCGAAAGCUGUGCUAAUACCGCAUACGCCCUGAGGGGGAAAGCGGGGGAUCGAAAGACCUCGCGCGAUUAGAGCGGCCGAUGCCUGAUUAGCUUGUUGGUGGGGUAAAAAGCCCACCAAGGCGACGAUCAGUAGCUGGUCUGAGAGGACGAUCAGCCACACUGGGACUGAGACACGGCCCAGACUCCUACGGGAGGCAGCAGUGGGGAAUUUUGGACAAUGGGGGCAACCCUGAUCCAGCAAUGCCGCGUGAGUGAAGAAGGCCUUCGGGUUGUAAAGCUCUUUUGUCAGGGAAGAAACAGCAGCUCUAACACAGUCUGCGAAUGACGGUACCUGAAGAAUAAGCACCGGCUAACUACGUG
RNAcentral lists this ribosomal RNA (486 nucleotides) under uncultured bacterium. RNAcentral's name for it is "bacterial SSU rRNA". It matches the Rfam family "Bacterial small subunit ribosomal RNA", at positions 30 to 507 of the family's 1533-position model. The record is from RNAcentral.